UUUAUUCGACGCACGCGCAGAACCUUACCAGCCCUUGACAUGUCUAUGACCGGUACCAGAGAUGGAACCUUCCCUUCGGGGCAUAGAGCACAGGUGCUGCAUGGCUGUCGUCAGCUCGUGUCGUGAGAUGUUGGGUUAAGUCCCGCAACGAGCGCAACCCCCGUCCUUAGUUGCUACCAUUUAGUUGAGCACUCUAAGGAGACUGCCGGUGAUAAGCCGCGAGGAAGGUGGGGAUGACGUCAAGUCCUCAUGGCCCUUACGGGCUGGGCUACACACGUGCUACAAUGGCGGUGACAAUGGGAUGCAAAGGGGCGACCCCUAGCAAAUCUCAAAAAGCCGUCUCAGUUCGGAUUGGGCUCUGCAACUCGAGCCCAUGAAGUUGGAAUCGCUAGUAAUCGUGGAUCAGCAUGCCA
RNAcentral lists this ribosomal RNA (413 nucleotides) under uncultured bacterium. Its description in RNAcentral is "bacterial SSU rRNA". It matches the Rfam family "Bacterial small subunit ribosomal RNA", at positions 946 to 1359 of the family's 1533-position model. The record is from RNAcentral.